CUGGUUUAAUUAGAGGGAUCCCGGCAGCUCCCAGCUCGGUAUAAUUUCGGUAAUAUCAGCAUGCGAUGGGUCGGAUUCGGUAAUUCACUCACAAACCUCCCUUCACUCCCUCUAUCUGCGUUCCACUCGCUUCCUGGCGCUGCGUUUCAGCGUGCGUUCCAUUCACUUCCUGUAUCAUGCGUGCGUUUCACUUACGUCCUAUGAUCAGCGUGCGUUCCAUUUACUUCCUGUAUCCAGCGUGCGUUCCAUUUACUUCCUGUAUCCAGCGUGCGUUCCAUUACAGUUUGUGAGGCUGUUGGUGAUCAGUAAUCAGUUUAAUGUAACGCUCAGACUUGUGGGAAGUCUGUCACCAUGACAACUAGAUGCUGGGAAUUGCAGUCACUGCUAGUAGCACGGUUAGUGGGGGAAGGGCUGGAUGCUGGGGAUUGUAGUCACUGCUAGUAGGACGGUUAGUGGGGGAAGGGCUGGAUGCUGGGGAUUGUAGUCACUGCUAGUAGGACGGUUAGUGGGGGAAGGGCUGGAUGCUGGGGAUUGUAGUCACUGCUAGUAGCACGGUUAGUGGGGGAAGGGCUGGAUGCUGGGAAUUGCAGUCACUGCUAGUAGGACGGUUAGUGGGGGAAGGGCUGGAUGCUGGGAAUUGCAGUCACUGCUAGUAGCACGGUUAGUGGGGGAAGGGCUGGAUGCUGGGAAUUGUAGUCACUGCUAGUAGGACGGUUAGUGGGGGAAGGGCUGGAUGCUGGGAAUUGUAGUCACUGCUAGUAGCACGGUUAGUGGUGGAAGGGCUGGAUGCUGGGGAUUGUAGUCACUGCUAGUAGCACGGUUAGUGGUGGAAGGGCUGGAUGCUGGGGAUUGUAGUCACUGCUAGUAGGACGGUUAGUGGGGGAAG
Molecule: non-coding RNA, 886 nt
Organism: Pelobates cultripes (western spadefoot toad)
Lineage: Eukaryota; Metazoa; Chordata; Amphibia; Anura; Pelobatidae
Source: the annotation of a GenBank genome assembly